Molecule: small nucleolar RNA, 107 nt
Organism: Papaver somniferum (opium poppy)
Lineage: Eukaryota; Viridiplantae; Streptophyta; Magnoliopsida; Ranunculales; Papaveraceae
Product: small nucleolar RNA snoR97
Exons: 1
Source: RefSeq, a predicted model, not a curated record
GGUAACUUGUGGACAUGAAGACUGGAACAACUCAUAUAGUGUGUGUUGUGUAUCAGCUUCUUCUUUCGUGAUCAACAAGAUGGGAGUUAUAUGACAGCACUAUAUUU